UUCUUUUGCUCCCCAUGGCCUCAGCGAUAGUUUCACUUCCGGCAGUUUCUCUGUUAGACGUCAUCAAGGUCAGAAAUUGAUGAAACCAAUCUAAAGUAAGUUUUAAUUUCUCAAUUGUUCAAUAGAAUAAACCUACAAAGCUACGUCACUGAUACAUUCUCAAUUGUAGCAACAUUCAAGGAGUAUUUUUCAACCACUACAUUGACGAACAAGUUAUACCAAAAGGAACCGUCUACAAAUGCUUCAGCGAUGCGGUGAGAUACUUAAUGAAACAUUACAUAUUUGUAUUGUCCUGUAAGGCUUCAGAGCCAAAAAAAACUGAGAUCAUGUAAUGGAAUAGGAAAUCAGGUAGAGAAUGAAACAGACCUGGACAAUCUUGGCGAGGAGAAUCUCGGAUACGGAAGUAUUUCUCAAAUGUACCAGCCCAUGCAUCUCUCU
RNAcentral lists this long non-coding RNA (438 nucleotides) under Arabidopsis lyrata. RNAcentral's name for it is "long non-coding RNA (ALYR_LNC002966)". Lineage: Eukaryota; Viridiplantae; Streptophyta; Magnoliopsida; Brassicales; Brassicaceae. The record is from RNAcentral.